AUUGAACGCUGGCGGCAGGCCUAACACAUGCAAGUCGAGCGGAUGAAGGGAGCUUGCUCCUGGAUUCAGCGGCGGACGGGUGAGUAAUGCCUAGGAAUCUGCCUGGUAGUGGGGGAUAACGUCCGGAAACGGGCGCUAAUACCGCAUACGUCCUGAGGGAGAAAGUGGGGGAUCUUCGGACCUCACGCUAUCAGAUGAGCCUAGGUCGGAUUAGCUAGUUGGUGGGGUAAAGGCCUACCAAGGCGACGAUCCGUAACUGGUCUGAGAGGAUGAUCAGUCACACUGGAACUGAGACACGGUCCAGACUCCUACGGGAGGCAGCAGUGGGAAAUAUUGGACAAUGCGCGAAAGCCUGAUCCAGCCAUCCCGCGUGUGUGAAGAAGGUCUUCGGAUUGUAAAACACUUUAAGUUGGGGGGAAGGGCAGUAAGUUCAUACCUUGCUGUUUUGACGUUACCAACAGAAUAAGCCCCGGCUAACUUCGUG
Molecule: ribosomal RNA, 484 nt
Filed under: uncultured bacterium
Lineage: Bacteria
Description: partial 16S ribosomal RNA
Rfam family: Bacterial small subunit ribosomal RNA
Source: RNAcentral